Molecule: long non-coding RNA, 1257 nt
Organism: Lethenteron reissneri (Far Eastern brook lamprey)
Lineage: Eukaryota; Metazoa; Chordata; Hyperoartia; Petromyzontiformes; Petromyzontidae
Source: RefSeq, a predicted model, not a curated record
CCGACAGCUGUAUCGAGUAAAUGAGAGAUUGCAGAAGAUACCACUCCGAAACGUCGUGAUUUUUAUUUUAUUUUACUUUAAUUAAUUUUAAUGUUUUACCUACAUGGUGACUUUACCGAAAAAACCUAAGAAUAUGAAUCCUUGCAGUCACGAAAGCUUCAAAUCUAGAAUUAGGGUUUUGAUUCCUUACCAGUACCCGUACCCGGCCGCACCAGGGUCGCAAACGGGUACCCGUACCCAGCCGUACCCGUACCCUACCCGGUAGGGUACGGGUAUCGGGUACCUGAUUGCGACCUCUGGGAUGAAGCCACGUUGCAGGCGCGGGUGGGUUGAUUCUAGGAACUUGAAUUGUGAGAAGAGACAAGACGUUGGGAAAUGAGUGACAAACGGUGACUCACCAGUGACUCACGGCCUACCCGUACCCGGCCGCACCAGGGUCGCAAACGGGAACCCGUACCCGGCCGGGUACGGGUAGCCGGGUAUCGGGUAGGGUACGGGUAUCGGGUACCCGGUUGCGACCUCUGCAGUGUAGCCUCGAAAGGUUGUUGGGGCAAGUGCUGUUAGCGAGGGAGCAGCGCCUAUUGAAAGGGUGCGAAUUUUUUUUUUUAAAACACAACACCGGUCCUGGGCCUCCCCUAGGUCGGCUCAGCCUCAAAUGAGUUAUACGGUGCGGUGUGUAGUGAACAUCAACACUCGGGGAGAGACAAAGGCGGCCGGGCGUGGUGCUGGUAGCCACCCACCCCCUCGUGUGCCACAGCGCCGGUAGCCUUCACAGGUGCUACUCGCUAACAGCACUUGCCCGACAGUCUGUUGAGGCUACACGGGGAAUCUUUGUCUAUAUAUAGGUGCUGCUGCUACUCGCUAACAGCACUUGCCCGACAGUCUGUUGAGGCUACACGGGGGAUCUUUGUCUGUGUAUAGGUGCUGCUGCUACUCGCUACAAGCACUUGCCCCUACAGCCUGUUAGAGGCUACACGGGGGAUCUUUGUCUGUGUAUAGGUGCUGCUACUACUCGCUAACAGCACUUGCCCCUACAGCCUGUUAGAGGCUACACGGGGGAUCUUUGUCUGUGUAUAGGUGCUGCUACUACUCGCUAACAGCACUUGCCCGACAGUCUGUUGAGGCUACACGGGGGAUCUUUGUCUGUGUAUAGGUGCUGCUACUACUCGCUAACAGCACUUGCCCCGACAGUCUGUUGAGGCUACACGGGGGAUAUUUGUCUGUGUAUAGGUGCUGCUACUACUCGCUAACAGCACU